This 3777-nucleotide long non-coding RNA is filed under the name Daphnia magna. RNAcentral describes it as "uncharacterized LOC116918527". The record is from RNAcentral. Lineage: Eukaryota; Metazoa; Arthropoda; Branchiopoda; Diplostraca; Daphniidae.
GUAUCGGAUGUUUGUAAAAUGUGUCAGCCAUUUUCUCAGUUAGUGCAGCUUGUCGAUCUUUGAGUCUUAUAAUGCUAGAAAAGUGAUCUCAGAAAUGUGUGUAAAGUGAAAUUAAAUGAUAAAAGUUGACAAUAAAGAGCUUGUCUUGUGGUUAAUGGUGAAGUUUGGUCAUAUUCCAUAUUACGUCGUCAAUUAUUAAGGUUUUAAGGAAACGAAGAAUUAAAAGAGAAAAACUUUUAAAGGGAUCAAGAAUAUUGAGACCGGACCAUUCUUGGACAAUGUACCAGACCUUCGGCGGAUGCUGAGUUGCGUGAUCUCGCAAUUCACCCCAACCCCAUCUGGUGUUUUAGUUCCAUAAGGCUAGCGAUUGGCACCGAUUAGCCCAAAUCGGGUUAACCACCCCGCCCUACCCUCUACGGCGCGUUCGGGUCUCGAGGUUCAAACAUUUUCUCCCCGAGCAUCGAACACCCCGACCUGAUACCCGAAAUACGAAACCCGAUUGGCAAAAAAGUGCCUCGACCAACGACUGCUGCGUUGCCGCGAUGGAUACAAAUGUGAAAAAAGAUGUCGAACAGCCCUAUACCUACGGACAUAUUGGGUAUAGCGGAAAACGGGAAAAGGUUUAGCUCCACCCCUCAAAAACGCAAGUUUUGAGCAAAACUACAUGAAUUUUAAUGAAUUGAUUAAGGCUUAAAACAAAAAACACACCUACAGAUUAUACUAGAUAUUGACAUAUACUUUUGUUUAUGAGUAUACUUGCUAUGAUUUAUGGGUUUAAUGGGAGGGUUUAAACGGGCAGGGCCACCGAUUGGGUCGACGGGCACCUACAGCGGUCGUUUUGGCAGGCAAAAUAGGUUGACGUGCAGACUAUGAGGGAGAGGACGGGCAACUAGGCGGACAUCUUGGCGGGUAGAGACAGUGAACGGGUCAGCGGCCAAAAAAUGGGAACGCAGAAAGCUUAAAGAGUAGACGGGCAAACAUUUUACGUUAACAGUUUGGCAGAAUUAAAUGGCGAAAAAACGUUAAAAAUACGCUAGCGCCACCUAUCUCCCGGCCCUGGACGGGCCCAAAGUUACUAGUUGUUAUAAUAAUUACAUGAAAUAUGUUUAUUUGAAUUUAUAAAAAGAAACAAAUAAAUUUUUUUUCGCAAAGGGGGACAAAGUUGAAUCCCACGUCUCAUAGAUGUAAAAACGCGGAACAACACCUGGUCGUUCGUUUAGAAUGAUACCAAGGACAUUUAAAAUUUUCAUCCAUGGAACAUCUAAACCAUUUCGAAAGACGGCAGACGUAGCGUAGAACCGACCGUCCAUAGAAUGUCCACAGGACGAGCAAUGCUAGUAGAGAUGUUGUCCAAAAUGUUCACAUGUAAGAAACCGCAACGUAAUACAACCAAAACGCAGCGAAAACGAAACCAAAAGUGGCUCCUGCGUAGAGCUUAUGAAAUGCUCGGAAAAACAUGUUAUCUAGGAUACUCCCUAGAGUGAAAAAAUCACCCUCUUGUGGGCAAAAAAGGGAAACAUUAUGGAAUUUGGUUUUUAUUACACACAUUAUUUAUGGUUUUUACACACAGAAACAACGAAAAAACAAUUUAAGUUUAAAUGCUGCUAAAAAAACAUGACCAGAAGACUACCUGGGAGAAUGGAUUUAAGAUAACUGACUAAAAAUUUAGAAAUGGGCCAGUAUUUGAAGAAGCAUGGUAAUUUAAAAAAGGCGGUAGACGUGGGAGUGUAGACCCACUUUAUUAGUGACUAACUGUCGAUGUACUGCUCGCAUUUGAGCAUAGUUCUCUCUUUUUUCAGUAUGUCCCAGAAAUGGAUUUCGCAUUUGUCCACAAUUUCUAUCGAUGAAAUGUUCACAAUAAUAUUUUUUACGAAGUUAUUAAAAGCAGAAAACAUUUACCCACCUUGGCAAAGUUUACGACUGGGACCUGUCGUUUUGUCUUCUGGACGACAUUCAGGUUGUGUUACGAGACAAAUAAAUUUUCCUAUCUCUGGGUGACUAUCCAAACAGAAAACAUGGUUUUAAAUCAGUUUAAAUUAAUAAAAUGUGAAUAAUACCAAUUUGAAUCAAUAAUAAUCCGGAGGUAUUCCGAGCUUCUUAUGAAGUCAUCUUCAGACUUGUCUCCCACACCAUUUGGAUAAAAGGUGUGAGUGUAAUUGCUGCAGAAGGUCACGUUAAUUGGAACACAUUGAGGCACUAAAUACUUGUGCGACGAUGACGCAGUGACGUAGGGAAUGUUUUCGUUAGUGUGUCCUUAAAUAGUUUUCAAGUUGUAUAAAAUUUAUAGUGAAGGAAUUUGACAAAUUAAUUUUUGCUUGGCGUGACACCAUUGAAGUAUCAUCCUCCAUAGACUUUACAUUCGCCACGUGUAAUUCUUGUUUGCAAUAAAUAAAAUGACUGGAAGACAAAUUUUACCAGCUUCCUAACAUUGUCAUCCCCCCCCCCCCAUGCAUGUACUCAUGAAAAUGAAAAUGUGAGAAAUUGAAAACAAAUUUUACCUUUUAUAUCUGUCACCUUAAAAAAUUUUCCUACGUAGUAAACCGUAGCCAAUCCGAAUAUUAUAAAACAGGCAUAGUAGAUGAAUCUAUUUGUUUUAUAAAUUCUUUUUAUGCUCCAUGCAGGUAGCUCUUCUUCUGGGAUAAAGGAAGAGGGGUACAUUACGAAAAAAUUAAAAGCACCUACUUCUUCGAAAGUGUAACAAAUAAUGACUCCAUAUCGCCGUCCGCCGUCAGUCGUCUGAUAGACCAUCAGAGGAUGCUGAGAUAUAACAACCAGGGUUGUUACGGUUGCUCAACGCCAUAAGAGCUCUUUACAUUGGAAGACGUCCUAGUUUUUCAAAGGGAAGGAACCUUUCUUCCUGUGACGUCAAUUGCCAACUGCCAAUGGGAAUAAAACUAAAACGCGUUCUUUUCGCCAUCUAGGUAACGAAAAUAAAACAAAGUUUUCCCUCAGUGACGGUUAGUACAAACAAACUAGGGUAGAAAACAUGGCGGCUUCCGAGAAAACCAUAAAGCGUAAGGCACUGGUCGACAGAAUUGAAAAUGUAUCUGGAUCUAAAACAAAGCACAGAGAAAAGCUUAUUACAAAUCCCACUCCCAAACUAACAAUGAGACCGAAGCAGAAAGCAAGCAAGACCAUGAAGAAGAAACCACAAUUAUCAAUCAAGAUACAGGAAGUGCUGCAUCACCUGAUGGUAUUGAUAGUUCCCAUGCACUUGAAAGGCAUGCUGUGGGUGGAGUUCCUAGAAUGGAUACUACGAUAAAUAUUGAUUCAGUUACUUCAUCAUCAGUCCAACUAGACACGUCAGGUAUCAUAAUUAGAAAUUAAAUUGUUAUCAUAUUCUUAGCAGGUGUUACUGUGUAUCCACCUAGUUCAUCUUCGACCAACAACCAAUCUUUUGAAGAGGUCUGUAUACUUGGUACACAGAACACAAUUGAUGUUGACUCAUCAGUAGCUUCAUUUACUAAUCCUACUGACAGUGGAGGUGUUUGACCAUCUUCUGCAUUGGGUUGCGCAACUACGCUAAUGUCAGCGGCCUCUACUUUAGAUCAGCUUAUUGCGUUGCGCUUAUUUCCGUGCGACAAACAUCGCACGAAAAUGGUCCCAUUUUUAAUGUUUGAAUACAUAGAAUCCCCAUAUCACAUGGAAGCGAAACGGUUGAAAAAUGAGGUUAGCCAGAAAUCAAAAGAAGAGCAGCAUAAGCUGCGCAAACUGUCUAAGAUGGUAAAUUAAUGUGUAUUAAUGUAUAUUAAGGUUUAUAAUACAAAGAGGAAUUGA